This 231-nucleotide ribosomal RNA is filed under the name Alcaligenes faecalis. Its description in RNAcentral is "partial 16S ribosomal RNA". It matches the Rfam family "Bacterial small subunit ribosomal RNA", at positions 81 to 315 of the family's 1533-position model. The record is from RNAcentral. Lineage: Bacteria; Pseudomonadati; Pseudomonadota; Betaproteobacteria; Burkholderiales; Alcaligenaceae.
UCUCUUGGCGGCGAGUGGCGGACGGGUGAGUAAUAUAUCGGAACGUGCCCAGUAGCGGGGGAUAACUACUCGAAAGAGUGGCUAAUACCGCAUACGCCCUACGGGGGAAAGGGGGGGAUCGCAAGACCUCUCACUAUUGGAGCGGCCGAUAUCGGAUUAGCUAGUUGGUGGGGUAAAGGCUCACCAAGGCAACGAUCCGUAGCUGGUUUGAGAGGACGACCAGCCACACUG